UGGGGAAUAUUGCACAAUGGGGGAAACCCUGAUGCAGCGACGCCGCGUGAGCGAAGAAGUAUUUCGGUAUGUAAAGCUCUAUCAGCAGGGAAGAAGAAUGACGGUACCUGACUAAGAAGCACCGGCUAAAUACGUGCCAGCAGCCGCGGUAAUACGUAUGGUGCAAGCGUUAUCCGGAUUUACGUGGGUAGUAAAGGGAGCGCAGGCGGUGCGGCAAGUCUGAUGUAGAAAGCCCGGGGCUCAACCUCGGUACUGCAUUGGAAACUGUCGUACUAGAGUGUCGGAGGGGUAAGUGGAAUUCCUAGUGUAGCGGUAGAAAUGCGUAGAUAUUAGGAGGAACACCAGUGGCGAAGGCGGCUUACUGGACGAUAACUGACGCUGAG
This 383-nucleotide ribosomal RNA is filed under the name uncultured Roseburia sp. RNAcentral describes it as "bacterial SSU rRNA". It matches the Rfam family "Bacterial small subunit ribosomal RNA", at positions 355 to 750 of the family's 1533-position model. The record is from RNAcentral. Lineage: Bacteria; Bacillati; Bacillota; Clostridia; Lachnospirales; Lachnospiraceae.